This 465-nucleotide ribosomal RNA is filed under the name Vreelandella stevensii. Its description in RNAcentral is "partial 16S ribosomal RNA". It matches the Rfam family "Bacterial small subunit ribosomal RNA", at positions 338 to 795 of the family's 1533-position model. The record is from RNAcentral. Lineage: Bacteria; Pseudomonadati; Pseudomonadota; Gammaproteobacteria; Oceanospirillales; Halomonadaceae.
CCUACGGGGGGCUGCAGUGGGGAAUAUUGGACAAUGGGGGGAACCCUGAUCCAGCCAUGCCGCGUGUGUGAAGAAGGCCCUCGGGUUGUAAAGCACUUUCAGUGAGGAAGAACGCCUGGUGGUUAAUACCCAUCAGGAAAGACAUCACUCACAGAAGAAGCACCGGCUAACUCCGUGCCAGCAGCCGCGGUAAUACGGAGGGUGCGAGCGUUAAUCGGAAUUACUGGGCGUAAAGCGCGCGUAGGUGGCUUGAUAAGCCGGUUGUGAAAGCCCCGGACUCAACCUGGGAACGGCAUCCGGAACUGUCAAGCUAGAGUGCAGGAGAGGAAGGUAGAAUUCCCGGUGUAGCGGUGAAAUGCGUAGAGAUCGGGAGGAAUACCAGUGGCGAAGGCGGCCUUCUGGACUGACACUGACACUGAGGUGCGAAAGCGUGGGUAGCAAACAGGAUUAGAUACCCCAGUAGUC